Molecule: ribosomal RNA, 460 nt
Filed under: uncultured bacterium
Lineage: Bacteria
Description: partial 16S ribosomal RNA
Rfam family: Bacterial small subunit ribosomal RNA
Source: RNAcentral
CCUACGGGAGACAGCAGUGAGGAAUAUUGGUCAAUGGACGAGAGUCUGAACCAGCCAAGUAGCGUGAAGGAUGACUGCCCUAUGGGUUGUAAACUUCUUUUAUAUGGGAAUAAAAUGUUCCACGUGUGGGAUUUUGUAUGUACCAUAUGAAUAAGGAUCGGCUAACUCCGUGCCAGCAGCCUCGGUAAUACGGAGGAUCCGAGCGUUAUCCGGAUUUAUUGGGUUUAAAGGGAGCGUAGGUGGAUUGUUAAGUCAGUUGUGAAAGUUUGCGGCUCAACCGUAAAAUUGCAGUUGAAACUGGCAGUCUUGAGUACAGUAGAGGUGGGCGGAAUUCGUGGUGUAGCGGUGAAAUGCUUAGAUAUCACGAAGAACUCCGAUUGCGAAGGCAGUUCACUGGACUGCAACUGACACUGAGGCUCGAAAGUGUGGGUAUCAAACAGGAUUAGAUACCCCUGUAGUC